GUCUGCAUGGGACCCCCAUCUUUGUCCUCUGAACCUACCACUUACUCAACAGUGGAUUGCAAACUUAUGACUGAGUGGAAAGGACCAUACCCAGCUCAUUGUGGAUAGUUCCAGUUGCAUACAUGCUCAUGUCUCUUGUCAUUAGGUUUCUGUUGGGACCACUGGCACGUAGGCAGCUUUUUAAAUGGUACCUAGUUCUCUUGUGCAGGUGAUGUGACGACAUGAGCCCAAAGCCCAUUGAGGCUCAGCAGAGGAGUCACACAGCAUCCCAGCACACAUGCCUACUCCUAGCAGCAUGAUCUGCUUUUAAUAGAAUAUAUGUAUAAGAAAAGGAUCUGGACCAUAAAUGUAUGGUAUAAAAAAUAAUUCUACACACCUGAAUAAACACCACCCAGGCCAAGAAAAAGACCACCACCAUUCCACAAGCCCCAAGGAGUCCUCCCUGACAUUCCCCUCCCCACCCGAAACCCGUCCUGAAACUGCCACACUCACGUCCUUCCUUCCCUUCACAUGUUACUUUGAUUUAUGCCUUUGUGUGCACCUGAAAUGCUUUGUGAAAAUCUUCUCAAAAGGAAGUUUAGUGUGGUGGGAAGGGCGCAGACCUUGGACUCAGAAAGACCAGGCUUUAAAUCCCAGCCUGCCUGGCUACCUACUAGAGGUGUGACCUCCUCCAAGCCUUUCCCUCAUCUGUAUAAGCAAAUGCAAACACUCACACCUCCCAGGAUUGUCAUCAGGAUUCAAAUCACAGACUCCACGUUUAUUCAACAAGUUUACUGAGACCUCUUGAGGCCUGAGCCCUGUAGAAACUGGAGAUGAAUCAAACCCAGGCUUUACCCUCAAGAAGCUCACAAUUUGGAAACAGGUAACUACAAAAACAUCACAGCCAGUAAGUGCUUUGAAACAGGGAGAGAAAUAAGGAUGUAGUGUUUAUAAAUCCGGAGUCAAAACCUAACCGCAGAGAGAGGCAGGAGGGUCUGCAGCAUCCCGUAUGCAGAGACGAGCUUGGGGCCAUCUAGACAGGCUCUGUCCACAGAGGCAGCCACAUCCGCACGGGUCUCUGGAGUCACUGCAGGCUGGUCCACUGCAAGGAGGUAUAGACCACCUUCCCGUCAGGCUGAGGAGAACACAGCAGCAGCGUCUUUCUGACGCUGGUUCCCAGGCGGCCCGCAGAAACCAGAUCCUGCAGUGGAAUGGGGUCCCCCGGAGCCCAGCACUGAGCAAUGUAGUGGGCGUGGAAACGAAGGGGGUCACCUGGGUGAGAGAGAGACACGUAGCAGUUCCCAGUGGCAGAGGGCUGGAAGACACCGGAAUGUCCACAGCUGCUAAGAAACGGAGACAACCAAACCACAGACUUAAGUUCAUGGUCUCUCCGUAAGACUGAGUAUCACACAGCUGUUGAAACGAGAAGAAUGUACCAACGUGGAGAAGUCGACGAUACCCUGCGUGGGGAGAGAGGGGGUGGGGCAAGCUGUCCCACACAUUCAGCAUAAUCGUAUUUAAAAAACAAAACAACUAACGGAAUAGAUCACUGUCGUGACGUAAGAACCACGACCACAAAGUCCGUCAAAGCCACGAGGAACGCAAAGGAUGUCACGUGAAUAUCCAAGGGGAAGUGACUCUAACAGACUAAAAGAACUUACAAGACGACGGAGUAAUAAAUAGGUGGGAUAAAGGAGUUCACACAAUUUCUCAGGAAAGGGCCCGACAGUGAGUGUUUGGUUUUACAGCCGCGUCACAAGCACUCACCUCUGCCGCUUUGGCACCACAGGAACCACAGGCCGUACGUGAGCAGACAGGGCUGCCUCCCAGUAACCUGACCUGCGCUCUGCCCCUGGAUCAGGUAAAUCUGACUGAUCAAGGAGAGCCGGAGCCAGAAUGGGGCCCCACCCAGAAGGUUCGGUGCCAGCUAACGAAAACCAGCGAGAGCAGGGCGGUGAGAUGUCCCACUGAGAGGACCCUCGGCCGGCUUUCCAGCCAGCAGCUGUUGUGACACCUCUGGCCGUGCAGAAGGAAGCAUCGAAACCCCUGGGAAGCUGCCUCAAAACUGUUCCAAGGGGCGCCUGGGUGGCUCAGUCGGUUAAGCGACUGCCUUUGGCUCAGGCCAUGAUCCUGGAGUCCCGGGAUCGAGUCCCGCAUCGGGCGCCCUGCUCGGCGAGGAGCCUGCUUCUCCCUCUGACCCUCCCCCCUCUCAUGUGCUCUCUCUCUCUCAUUCUCGCUCUCUCAAAUAAAUAAAUCUUAAAAAAAAAAAAAAAAAAAAACUGUUCCAAGACGCCUAGUGCCUUUAUUAAGUUCGGGAAGCUUUACUGUCAGAAAUAAGUAAGGGCCUCAGUCCUUGAAUAUUCUAAUCUUCAGGAAACAAAGAUUCUACAUAUACCUCAUACACCGAGUAUGUAUUCUUUUAGAAAUAUUGACCCAUUAGAACUAACAGGUCAGUCAUUUGGUUCAGUUUCAGAUGUGUGAUGGAGUUAUUGGUGGAUUUACCCUUAUUUUAACCGGAAGUUUUAGUAAGGCCAUUAACAGUAUUAGAACAUGUAAACUUAAAACUUACUCCAUUUACAAGUUAUUAGAUCUGAGUUUUUGGCAAGUUCCAUAACCUGAACACCAUACAACUUAAAAAGGAAAAUAAACAUAUUAAAAUUUAAAAU
Mirounga angustirostris (Northern elephant seal) is the source of this 2645-nucleotide long non-coding RNA. RefSeq lists it as uncharacterized. The transcript is spliced from 3 exons. The record is from RefSeq and is a predicted model, not a curated record. Lineage: Eukaryota; Metazoa; Chordata; Mammalia; Carnivora; Phocidae.